UAUACCUGUUGCUUCGGCGGCGCCCGCGAGGGCGCCCGCCGGUCUCAUCAGAAUCUCUGUUUUCGAACCCGACGAUACUUCUGAGUGUUCUUAGCGAACUGUCAAAACUUUUAACAACGGAUCUCUUGGCUCCAGCAUCGAUGAAGAACGCAGCGAAACGCGAUAUGUAAUGUGAAUUGCAGAAUUCAGUGAAUCAUCGAAUCUUUGAACGCACAUGGCGCCUUCCAGUAUCCUGGGAGGCAUGCCUGUCCGAGCGUCGUUUCAACCCUCGAGCCCCCCGUGGCCCGGCGUUGGGGAUCUGCCACGGCAGGCCCCUAAAACCAGUGGCGGACCCGCUGGGCCCUCUCCUUUGCGCAGUAGCAUCAGCCUCGCAUCGGGAGCCCUCGGCGUCCUGCCUCUAAACCCCCCACAAGCCCGCUCCGGCGGCACCAAGGUUGACCUCGGAUCAGGUAGGAAUACCCGCUGAACUUAAGCAUAU
RNAcentral lists this ribosomal RNA (478 nucleotides) under Plectosphaerella cucumerina. Its description in RNAcentral is "eukaryotic LSU rRNA". The stretch from base 106 to 259 matches the Rfam family "5.8S ribosomal RNA". Lineage: Eukaryota; Fungi; Ascomycota; Sordariomycetes; Glomerellales; Plectosphaerellaceae. The record is from RNAcentral.